UACGAAGGGGGCUAGCGUUGUUCGGAAUUACUGGGCGUAAAGCGCACGUAGGCGGACAUUUAAGUCAGGGGUGAAAUCCCAGAGCUCAACUCUGGAACUGCCUUUGAUACUGGGUGUCUUGAGUAUGGAAGAGGUGAGUGGAAUUCCGAGUGUAGAGGUGAAAUUCGUAGAUAUUCGGAAGAACACCAGUGGCGAAGGCGGCUCACUGGCCCGGUACUGACGCUGAGGUGCGAAAGCGUGGGGAGCAAACAGG
RNAcentral lists this ribosomal RNA (253 nucleotides) under uncultured bacterium. Its description in RNAcentral is "partial 16S ribosomal RNA". It matches the Rfam family "Bacterial small subunit ribosomal RNA", at positions 524 to 776 of the family's 1533-position model. The record is from RNAcentral.